AUCUCCCCUCUCUUCUCUUCCCUUUUUUUUCUUUCCCCCUCUCUUCUUUGGAUCUCCCCCUCCUUUCCUCUUUUCCCUUUUUCUUUUUACUGCUUUGUAGGCUGUGCUUUUGCUGGAGGUUUAGGGGUGCUCUUGAUCGAGUGUCUCUGGAUGCCAGCAGGUUUACUUUGAAAAAAUUAGAGUGCUCAAAGCAGGCUAAAAUGCCUGAAUAUUCGUGCAUGGAAUAAUAGAAUAGGAUGUCGAUCCUAUUUUGUUGGUUUUCGGGACUCGACAUAAUGAUAAAUAGGGACAGUCGGGGGCAUUUGUAUUCAAACGACAGAGGUGAAAUUCUUGGACCGUUUGAAGACAAACUACUGCGAAAGCAUUUGCCAAGAAUGUUUUCA
This 383-nucleotide ribosomal RNA is filed under the name marine copepod environmental sample. RNAcentral describes it as "partial small subunit ribosomal RNA". The stretch from base 48 to 383 matches the Rfam family "Eukaryotic small subunit ribosomal RNA", at positions 634 to 972 of the family's 1831-position model. The record is from RNAcentral. Lineage: Eukaryota; Metazoa; Arthropoda; Copepoda.